RNAcentral lists this ribosomal RNA (160 nucleotides) under uncultured bacterium. RNAcentral describes it as "partial 16S ribosomal RNA". It matches the Rfam family "Bacterial small subunit ribosomal RNA", at positions 338 to 515 of the family's 1533-position model. The record is from RNAcentral.
CCUACGGGAGGCAGCAGUGGGGAAUAUUGGACAAUGGGGGAAAGCCUGAUCCAGCAAUGCCGCGUGAGUGAUGAAGGCCUUAGGGUUGUAAAGCUCUUUUACCCGGGAUGAUAAUGACAGUACCGGGAGAAUAAGCUCCGGCUAACUCCGUGCCAGCUGC